ACGAACGCUGGCGGCGUGCUUAACACAUGCAAGUCGAACGGAAAGGCCCUGCUUUUGUGGGGUGCUCGAGUGGCGAACGGGUGAGUAACACGUGAGUAACCUGCCCUUGACUUUGGGAUAACUUCAGGAAACUGGGGCUAAUACCGGAUAGGAGCUCCUGCUUCAUGGUGGGGGUUGGAAAGUUUCGGCGGUUGGGGACGGACUCGCGGCUUAUCAGCUUGUUGGUGGGGUAGUGGCUUACCAAGGCUUUGACGGGUAGCCGGCCUGAGAGGGUGACCGGCCACAUUGGGACUGAGAUACGGCCCAGACUCCUACGGGAGGCAGCAGUGGGGAAUAUUGCACAAUGGGCGGAAGCCUGAUGCAGCAACGCCGCGUGCGGGAUGACGGCCUUCGGGUUGUAAACCGCUUUCGCCUGUGACGAAGCGUGAGUGACGGUAAUGGGUAAAGAAGCACCGGCUAACUACGUG
This 467-nucleotide ribosomal RNA is filed under the name uncultured bacterium. Its description in RNAcentral is "partial 16S ribosomal RNA". It matches the Rfam family "Bacterial small subunit ribosomal RNA", at positions 29 to 507 of the family's 1533-position model. The record is from RNAcentral.